AAAAACAUGGCUUUUAGAUAAAAAUUGAAGGUCUGACCUAUCCGCUGAUAAUUGAAGGGUCGCGGUAUUUUGACCGUGCAAAGGUAGCAUAGUCAUUUGUCUUUUAAUUGGAGGCUGGAAUGAAUGGUUUGACGAGAUAUUAACUGUCUCAAUUAGUAAUAUUGAAUUUAACUUUUAAGUAAAAAGGCUUAAAUGUAAGUAGGGGACGAUAAGACCCUAUAGAACUUUAUAAUCUAACUUAUAAUUUUAUAAGUUAGAUUAAUUUGCUGGGGUGGUGUAGAAAGAAUUAGAACUUUUUAUAAAUGAGGACAUAAUAAAUGAAUAAGAGAUCCAUUAUUAAUGAUUAUAAGAAUGAGUUACCUUAGGGAUAACAGCUUAAUCUUUUUUGAGAGUUCUUAUCAAUAAAAAGGAUUGAGACCUCGAUGUUGGAUUAUGAUUAGGUUUAGGUGAAGAAGUUUAAAUUAUAAGUCUGUUCGACUUUUAAAAUCUUACGUGAUCUGA
This 501-nucleotide ribosomal RNA is filed under the name Scapteriscus abbreviatus. Its description in RNAcentral is "partial 16S ribosomal RNA". It matches the Rfam family "Bacterial large subunit ribosomal RNA", at positions 1809 to 2608 of the family's 2925-position model. Lineage: Eukaryota; Metazoa; Arthropoda; Insecta; Orthoptera; Gryllotalpidae. The record is from RNAcentral.